AAAAUAAUGAAUUAAAAAUAAUGAUUAAUAAUAAUAAAUUAUUAAAUGAUACUCACGGUAUGUGAAUUUUUAAGAUUAUUUUUUUUUAAGAGAUAGAUAGUAUAUUAUUCGUUCUGAAAAUGUGAAUCAACUAAGGCUUAGUUUGGUAUUAAGACGUAUUACGUACGAUUCCAACGUACUUUCUCACCGCACGUAACGCAAUCUCUCCGCAAUCCCAAACGGAGUCUAAGAUUCGAACUGAAAACCUCAAAUACUAAUCAUUAAGUUCUUGGCUACUUGUGCUAGGAAACGUCGGUGAAUUUUUAAGAUUAUUGAAAGUCAAAAGUUUGAGUUUUUCAGUUUGUGAUAGUAAAAUAGAAUCUUAGAGUG
RNAcentral lists this long non-coding RNA (369 nucleotides) under Ananas comosus (pineapple). Its description in RNAcentral is "long non-coding RNA (ACOM_LNC030660)". Lineage: Eukaryota; Viridiplantae; Streptophyta; Magnoliopsida; Poales; Bromeliaceae. The record is from RNAcentral.